Molecule: ribosomal RNA, 1713 nt
Filed under: Triticum aestivum (bread wheat)
Lineage: Eukaryota; Viridiplantae; Streptophyta; Magnoliopsida; Poales; Poaceae
Description: partial small subunit ribosomal RNA
Source: RNAcentral
AUGUACCUGCCAUCAACGUCGUACACAGGUUGUUACGGUGGAACCACAUCGGCAAACGUCGCAUGGCAAGCUUCACAGUUGAAGGAAAGUGCUAUUGCAGAUAGAGCACAUCAAAUUGGAAUGACAGACCACACAAGAUCGGCACAUGUGACACAACAAGACGUUGGUUGCCAUGUGUUGGCAACAGUAGUUGCCAUGUGUGUUGGACUAUAUCUUCCAUUGCUAUAUCCUACAAGUUCUGAUGCUAAAAGACGCUGGUUGCCAUGUGUUGGCAAUGGACCUUCAACUACAAUUAGCAGUGGCGCGGGGACAUCUACUGCGGGGAGCUCUGAUCGCACAGAAGAUGCGUUCCACCAGCCAGCCAACACUCAUGCCACAAACAAUGCCGAGUCAGUGUCGGAAAUGGCAAUCGUGCCAGCAAUACCGACAAGCACACCUAUGCACACCAGCACAAGCAACACUCAAGCAGAUGAAAUAGCCGCCGAUGAUGAAACCGAUGACGAAGCACAAGGGGAUGAAGAUGAUGCAAAGGAAUUCUACCAGACAUAUGCAAAGUUCCAUGGGUUUGCGGUCAACAGCGAAUACCAUAGGAAAAUUAAAAAAACUAACGAGUACAGCAGAGGUGAGAUGAGGUGCUACAAGGCACGAAGAAACAAGAAGGGCAAAGGUGAUACGCCUAUCGUUCCGGAACGAAAGAGAGGUAUCAUUGUCAAGACGGAAUGCCCUGUCCGGUGUAAGCUGAAUGUAGAUGGAGCACAGUGGGUGGUCACUAAAUAUUUUGACGAGCACAACCACGAGCUAAUAAAGAAGUUUGACCUGGUAAAAUUUCUGACCGCCCACAGAGGAUUCACCCCCCUCGAGAAGAAAUUCAUAAAGCUGCUACAUGAUUGUAACAUCGGUCCAUCAAGAAUGGUGCAGAUACUCUCCCUCAUCCAUAGCAAAAAGGGGUCUCUGAGUAGCAUGCCCUACCUACCAGCAGAUGUCACAAACCUAAAGGCAAAGUGUUCUAUCCUGGGCAUGUCAGAUUCAGAACCUGAAGACCCGGACAAGGGAAGGAACUACUUUGUGAAGGCAUUGAUAAGCGAAGGCGAAUACUACUGCCAAUGCUGCAAAUUCGAACGGGACGGUAUUGUGUGCUGUCACAUUCUAAAAGUAAUGGACAUGAACGCGGUGACACGAAUGCCCCGCCAUUUCAUAAGGCGGCGAUGGACUUGGUACGCUGACGAUGCAUUGGCGCCGCAAACAUCAAACGCAGUUUUGGCCGUGCAUGACGAGAGACCAGAGUCAACCAUGGAAGCCGUGAGGCACGUUGUGUUGACAAAGAACUAUGUUGAACUAAUUGAUGAAGCGUGCAAGAGUGAUGAGACAGCAAGGGUCGCAGAAAAACACAGGAAGUCCCUCAAACGAGAGCUUGAUGAGAUCAAGAAGAGGAAAGCUGAGGAAGCCUUACACAGGUUCCCCCGCACAUCAAGUGUGCCUUCGUCCACGGGGCCAUCAUCUGAAAACUCGAAGGUAGGAUCUGGAACAGCAAGCACACAAACACAGGUUAGGAACCCGCCCCAUUCCAUCACAAAAGGGCGUCCAAAAGAGAUAAGAUACAAAUCGGGAUUGGAGAUUCAAGCAAAACACAAGAAACCAAAGAAAGGGACGGCAAUCAAUAAACAACAUUGGAGCACUGUGACUUGGUCCAUGGUGACAUUUUUUGUAAUCUAG